UGGGGAAUAUUGGGCAAUGGGCGAAAGCCUGACCCAGCAACGCCGCGUGAAGGAAGAAGGUCUUUGGAUUGUAAACUUUUGUCCUAUGGGAAGAAGGAAGUGACGGUACCAUGGGAGGAAGCCCCGGCUAACUACGUGCCAGCAGCCGCGGUAAUACGUAGGGGCGAGCGUUGUCCGGAAUUACUGGGCGUAAAGGGCGCGCAGGCGGCCGAUCAAGUUAGAUGUGAAAUACCUGGGCUUAACCUGGGAACUGCAUUUAAAACUGGUUGGCUAGGAGUGCAGGAGAGGGAAGCGGAAUUCCUAGUGUAGCGGUGAAAUGCGUAGAUAUUAGGAGGAACACCAGUGGCGAAGGCGGCUUUCUGGACUCUAACUGACGCUGAGGCGCGAAAGCGUGGGGAGCGAACAGGAUUAGAUACC
RNAcentral lists this ribosomal RNA (417 nucleotides) under uncultured bacterium. RNAcentral's name for it is "bacterial SSU rRNA". It matches the Rfam family "Bacterial small subunit ribosomal RNA", at positions 355 to 786 of the family's 1533-position model. The record is from RNAcentral.